AUCUGAUCAGGAGGUGAAUUGAAAGGACAGGCUGUGAGUCGACUGCUGCCACAACCCAGGUCCAAGCAAAAAGAAAAUGUUGGAAAACCAGUGUUUUCCUCAGCUGAGUUCAAAACGAAGCAAAAAGCGUCUGCAAAACCUGGGCAACUGAAAAGUGAGGAAAUCCAGUCUGCUUCCAUAUAAGAAAAAAUGACAGCGCUGAAUCUGAAGGGUCUUUCACUUUGUCAUUAACAAAAAUCUAAUAAAUGUUAAAAUCACAGAACUUUAAGAAACCAUGUGAAGUCUAGACAGACAACCCAAUCAAAAAAUAGGCAGAAGAUCCAAAUAGACACUUCUCCAAAGAAGACAUACAGAUGGCCAAGAGGCACAUGAAAGGAUGUUCAGCCUAAUUAUCAGAUAAAUGCAUAUCAAAGGUUUAAUGUCACUUCACACCAGUCAGAACCUAAAUGUCCAUCAACAGAGAAAUGGAUAAAAAAAAA
Molecule: long non-coding RNA, 479 nt
Filed under: Capra hircus (goat)
Lineage: Eukaryota; Metazoa; Chordata; Mammalia; Artiodactyla; Bovidae
Description: lncRNA (ENSCHIG00000007000.1)
Source: RNAcentral